UCAAACUAAACAUUUACAUGACAUGACAGUAUUAAAAUGUGCCUCAUAUGUUAUAAGAAAAGCACAAAUAUUUUUUUGACAGACUUCUUAGGUCACCCUUACGUUGGUGUCUGUUGUUAAAAAUGAUUAUUAGAUAGUUUCAUUGCUGAGGCUUAUUUCUUUUAAUCAUUUACUAAGUAAAUUAUUAAUUCAUUUACUAAGUAAAAAUUAUUUCAAUAAAUUCAUUUUACUUAUAUUUAAUUUUAAUUUAGUUGUUAUGAAAACAAACUUUAUUUUUGGCUUCUAAAUAAAUAUCACACACAUUCUAACAACUAAAUAUUAUGUCAAAACUGGCUAUUUUGAAUCAGUGAAAUGAUUUUGCAACGAACCAGAAGUUAUGAAGUCUUUAACUUUAAAUUAAAUAUACAUUCACAAAAAAAUGA
Molecule: non-coding RNA, 422 nt
Organism: Hydra vulgaris (swiftwater hydra)
Lineage: Eukaryota; Metazoa; Cnidaria; Hydrozoa; Anthoathecata; Hydridae
Source: RefSeq, a predicted model, not a curated record